GAUGAACGCUGACAGCAUGCUUAACGCAUGCAAGUCUUUGGCGAAGCUGUGCUUGCACCGCCUAGCCAAGGCGGACGGGUGAGUAACGCGUAAGGAACUUGCCCUGCAGUCAGGGAUAACAGACGGAAACGACUGAUAAGACCUGGUAAAGUCAGACGGACUCAUGUCCAGCCUGAUGAAAAGAGAUGCUGCAGGAGAGCCUUGCGUCCUAUUAGCUUGUUGGUGGGGUAACGGCCCACCAAGGCGAUGAUAGGUAGCCGGCCUGAGAGGGUGGACGGCCACAAGGGGACUGAGAUACGGCCCUUACUCCUACGGGAGGCAGCAGUGGGGAAUAUUGGACAAUGGGGGCAACCCUGAUCCAGCAAUUCUGUGUGCACGAUGAAGGUUUUCGGAUUGUAAAGUGCUUUCAGCAGGGAAGAAAAAAAUGACGGUACCUGCAGAAGAAGCGACGGCUAAAUACGU
Molecule: ribosomal RNA, 462 nt
Filed under: uncultured bacterium
Lineage: Bacteria
Description: partial 16S ribosomal RNA
Rfam family: Bacterial small subunit ribosomal RNA
Source: RNAcentral